CGGGACGGGUGAGUAAUGUCUGGGAAACUGCCUGAUGGAGGGGGAUAACUACUGGAAACGGUAGCUAAUACCGCAUAACGUCGCAGGACCAAAGAGGGGGACCUUCGGGCCUCUUGCCAUCGGAUGUGCCCAGAUGGGAUUAGCUAGUAGGUGGGGUAACGGCUCACCUAGGCGACGAUCCCUAGCUGGUCUGAGAGGAUGACCAGCCACACUGGAACUGAGACACGGUCCAG
This 233-nucleotide ribosomal RNA is filed under the name uncultured bacterium. Its description in RNAcentral is "partial 16S ribosomal RNA". It matches the Rfam family "Bacterial small subunit ribosomal RNA", at positions 100 to 334 of the family's 1533-position model. The record is from RNAcentral.